GAUCCCGUAGCUCAACCGGAUAGAGCAACUGCCUUCUAAGCAGUAGGUUGCAGGUUCGAGUCCUGCCGGGAUCGCCA
RNAcentral lists this transfer RNA (77 nucleotides) under Alphaproteobacteria bacterium. RNAcentral's name for it is "tRNA-Arg". It matches the Rfam family "tRNA". Rfam says of the family: Transfer RNA (tRNA) molecules are approximately 80 nucleotides in length. Their secondary structure includes four short double-helical elements and three loops (D, anti-codon, and T loops). Further hydrogen bonds mediate the characteristic L-shaped molecular structure. tRNAs have two regions of fundamental functional importance: the anti-codon, which is responsible for specific mRNA codon recognition, and the 3' end, to which the tRNAs corresponding amino acid is attached (by aminoacyl-tRNA synthetases). tRNAs cope with the degeneracy of the genetic code in two manners: having more than one tRNA (with a specific anti-codon) for a particular amino acid; and 'wobble' base-pairing, i.e. permitting non-standard base-pairing at the 3rd anti-codon position. Lineage: Bacteria; Pseudomonadati; Pseudomonadota; Alphaproteobacteria. The record is from RNAcentral. RNAcentral also lists the same sequence under 1 other name.